GCCGGGGUAGGGUAGGCGGUCAUCCUACGGGACUGUGGAUCCUGCGACUCGGGUUCAAAUCUCGGCCCCGGCCCCA
Molecule: transfer RNA, 76 nt
Filed under: Methanobrevibacter sp.
Lineage: Archaea; Methanobacteriati; Methanobacteriota; Methanobacteria; Methanobacteriales; Methanobacteriaceae
Also listed under: 4 other names
Description: tRNA-His
Rfam family: tRNA
About the family: Transfer RNA (tRNA) molecules are approximately 80 nucleotides in length. Their secondary structure includes four short double-helical elements and three loops (D, anti-codon, and T loops).
Source: RNAcentral